UAUAUAUAUAUAUGAUUUCUUGAGUCCGAUUUCGUGUUGCUGCCAUAAAUGGGUUUGAUUUUAUAGGGUUUAAUUUCUUGGGUUUUAUGGGCUUGAUUUCUUGUACACAGAAAGAACAUUUUCUUUCAUUAAUCUCAAAGAAAAUAUAUGCUGCAUACAUAUAUAUAUAUAUGGAGAGAGAGAUUUUGUUCUUGUGAUUAUAAGGAAGUUUAGAGAGAGAGAGAGAGAGAAUGUUGGCAGUGUUUGAUCAAUCUGUGGCAAAGAGCCCAGAAGGCCUGAGGAGUCAAAGCUCUGUUUCAGAAUCAUCAGCUCUGAAAGAUGGGUCGUUGAUUCAAGACUUGUAUUCUUCGCUCCAUCCGAAUUCUGUCACCAUCAAUCUUGGACUCCCUGGUUUCAUAGCCUACUCUUCUCACAAGCAAAGCCCACUUCUUCCUCGAUUUUGGAUGUAGAAGGGGAAAAAUGAGAGAGGCAAAGAUGAAGAUAGAAAGAUAAAGCAAAGGCCAAAGAUUUUGACAAA
Molecule: non-coding RNA, 517 nt
Organism: Camellia sinensis
Lineage: Eukaryota; Viridiplantae; Streptophyta; Magnoliopsida; Ericales; Theaceae
Source: RefSeq, a predicted model, not a curated record